AAGAACUUAGGAGCUAAGAGGGAGUGCAAGUGCAGAAUCCUAAAAAAAAAAAAAGAAAGGGUAAUGGGAGCAGUCCAUAUACACAUACAGAGAUAGGGAACGAGGAGUUGCAAAAAGAAAAGAGCAGACUAGUGGGCAUAUCCAACAAUAAGGGAAGUUGGCAUACUCAUAGGUCUGUGUAGAACACACUAUUUAGAGGUUAGGAUCCUUUAUGGGAUCAAACUCAAUCCAUAGACAAUAACUUACAUAUUGCCAUGUUUUGAACUGUAAAUCAUACACAAAAGGGAGAUAGGAAAUAUUGAUUCAUAGCAGAAACAAGCAAAAGGAAAUCAACAUGCUAGUUUAAGAAUUUAACUUUGCAAAAGUAGUAAAGUAGAAAUAGAUGCAAAAAGAUUUAAGUAAACACAUUGCGGUGAUGCUGAAGUCAAAUCAGGACAUACCAGUUUUAAAAAAACAAAUAGGGAAAAACAUUAGUCUUUUGAAAGUCAAAAUGCAAACAAGAAGGGAGAAUUCUAUUAUGAGUUCAGAAGAGAUUGUGAAUUAUAAAGUGAAUGAAUAUUAAAUCAUGUGUUAUGUGUUAAUGAGUCUUGCCUUUUAUAGUGUGGAAACCAAGUAGAAAUAAGGUAAGAAAAUAAUUGAAGAGCUGAUUGUCAAUCAAUUGCACAUGACUCCCUUUAAUUAAGGGAUUCAGAUCUAAACCGGUGAAAACCAUUUAAGGAAAGCAAUUGAAUAAACAAUUUGUGUGCAAUAUGCAAUUAAGGGCAGAUACAUAAACGGUUAUUUAAGGACAUGGUUUUGAAAUACACGGUUUGUGCAAAUAAGGUAAGAAGAUCAAUUAACAAUGGGAAAUCAAAAGGGGCCUGAGAUUUUGUGUGGAUGAACCAAGUUAGAAAAGAUGAAGAAGGGUUUUACUUAAGUCAAGUCACAGAGAUAAUCAGUAAACAAAUGGAAAAAAAUCAAUUAGGCUAUAUUAAUGAGGAAGCUUGAACUAAUUGCAAAUUUGAAAACCAUUUAGAUGGAAACUCAUCAUAUAUAAAGAGCAUGUGAGCAUGUUAAGUAUGAAAGAAAAAUUGUCAUGUCACUGAAACAUUAGUAGAAAAAUCCAAUGUAGAAUAGUUUAGUAAAAGGGUCAGAAUCAUAUGAAAACAAGGAAGUCCAAACUAAAUUCAAAGACUCGAAGAGUUAGGGGUUCUAAAAAUAAAACCCUAGUUCAAUCAAAUAUAUGAUCAAACUUGGCAGAAUCCCCAAGUUCUGGGAUUUCCACCUUGAGUCAAGUACAUAGAUGAGAAGGCAAGUAGUCAAAACAGGUUCAGUGGUUUCAGAGAAGAACUGAAAACUGUUGUAUGCUUCUAUCAGCAAUAGAAACCCAUGAGAAAAUAUGAUAUCAAAAUAACAGGCAGAACACUGUUGAAGUACUCAAAGAAAAAAUAGAGGAAAAACAGUGAUAGGAACAAUAAACAUGCUUAAGAAGUUUUUCAUAAGAAACUUAAACAGUGCUUAGUAAAAGGAAAGUAAGGAAACUUUUGAACUUAGCAGGAAAGUACAGUAGGAAAAACAUGCUGGAACAUAGUAGAAGAAAAAAAAACAAGAACAUAAUAGAAAAGCAUAUGAGAACAUAGUAUAGAAAAUACAAUAAAAGAACAUAUAUGAACAGGGUAUAGAGAACACAGUAGAAGGACAUACGUGAUAGAAGACAUAAGAACACAACAGAAAAGCAUACGAGACCAUAAUAUAGGAACACAUAGUAAGAGCAGGAUAUAAGAACAUGAUGCAAGAACACAGUAGAGACAAAUACACAUGAAUGACAAAGGAAAAAUCAUAAAAAUAUUUAAACACUUUUCAAAAAAUCCUAAAUCUAAGAAAAAAGGUUUUUUGAAAGAAAAGUUAGGAGAAUCGUUUGAAAACUUCAAGGAAAGCACAAACACACAACAACUUUAAGAAAUCAUAGAAAACCUCGAAGGUUGGGGUUUCAGAAGAACCCUAGAGAUGAGAAAGGCUUUGAAAGGUCACCGAUCGGAGUCAGAGAGGUCUGAAGUAGGCUUAAAAAACCUUGAUACGCCAGAGCAAGGCCGGAAAUGACCCUGAGACCUCGAAUUGAUAGUGGUGUAGGUUCAACCCUUCAUAGUAAGGCCUCGAAUCUUCAGGUAUUAGGUACAUAAGAGCACCAGGAGGUUGAUGUAAUACUCUUAUAGCUUUGAUGGCCAUAGAUUCCUGUGGAUUUUAGGGCGAAGGUGGAUAGGGUUAGAGAAGGAUGGAGAGUGUCUGAGAGAAGGGGAGGGUUUCAGAGGCGG
Molecule: long non-coding RNA, 2291 nt
Filed under: Nicotiana benthamiana
Lineage: Eukaryota; Viridiplantae; Streptophyta; Magnoliopsida; Solanales; Solanaceae
Description: long non-coding RNA (NBEN_LNC041050)
Source: RNAcentral